RNAcentral lists this ribosomal RNA (460 nucleotides) under uncultured bacterium. Its description in RNAcentral is "partial 16S ribosomal RNA". It matches the Rfam family "Bacterial small subunit ribosomal RNA", at positions 338 to 795 of the family's 1533-position model. The record is from RNAcentral.
CCUACGGGUGGCAGCAGUGAGGAAUAUUGGUCAAUGGGCGCGAGCCUGAACCAGCCAAGUAGCGUGAAGGAUGACUGCCCUACGGGUUGUAAACUUCUUUUAUAAAGGAAUAAAGUGAGGCACGUGUGCCUUUUUGUAUGUACUUUAUGAAUAAGGAUCGGCUAACUCCGUGCCCGCAGCCGCGUUAAUACGGAGGAUCCGAGCGUUAUCCGGAUUUAUUUGGGUUAAAGGGAGCGUAGAUGGGUUUUUAAGGCAGUUGUGAAAGUUUGCGGCUCAACCGUAAAAUUGCAAUUGAUAAUGGCAGCCUUGAGUACAGUUGAGGUAGGCGGAAUUCGUGGUGUAGCGGUGAAAUGCUUAGAUAUCACGAAGAACUCCGAUUGCGAAGGCAGCCUACUAAACUGCCACUGACAUUGAUGCUCGAAAGUGUGGGUAUCAAACAGGAUUAGAUACCCCGGUAGUC